RNAcentral lists this ribosomal RNA (250 nucleotides) under uncultured prokaryote. RNAcentral's name for it is "partial 16S ribosomal RNA". It matches the Rfam family "Bacterial small subunit ribosomal RNA", at positions 524 to 774 of the family's 1533-position model. The record is from RNAcentral.
UACGUAGGGGGCAAGCGUUAUCCGGAUUUAUUGGGCGUAAAGCGUGCGUAGGCGGUUUAUUAAGUCCAGAAUUAAAGCCCGAAGCUUAACUUCGGUUCGUUCUGGAUACUGGUAGGCUAGAGUAUGGUAGAGGCAAACGGAAUUCCUAGUGUAGCGGUGAAAUGCGUAGAUAUUAGGAGGAACACCAGUGGCGAAGGCGGUUUGCUGGGCAAUUACUGACGCUGAGGUACGAAAGCGUGGGUAGCAAAUA